RNAcentral lists this transfer RNA (73 nucleotides) under Escherichia coli. Its description in RNAcentral is "tRNA-Gly". It matches the Rfam family "tRNA". From Rfam's summary of the family: Transfer RNA (tRNA) molecules are approximately 80 nucleotides in length. The record is from RNAcentral. Lineage: Bacteria; Pseudomonadati; Pseudomonadota; Gammaproteobacteria; Enterobacterales; Enterobacteriaceae.
GCGGGAAUAGCUCAGUUGGUAGAGCACGACCUUGCCAAGGUCGGGGUCGCGAGUUCGAGUCUCGUUUCCUUCU